This 77-nucleotide transfer RNA is filed under the name Chromatiales bacterium. Its description in RNAcentral is "tRNA-Thr". It matches the Rfam family "tRNA". Rfam says of the family: Transfer RNA (tRNA) molecules are approximately 80 nucleotides in length. Their secondary structure includes four short double-helical elements and three loops (D, anti-codon, and T loops). The record is from RNAcentral. Lineage: Bacteria; Pseudomonadati; Pseudomonadota; Gammaproteobacteria; Chromatiales.
GCCGGAGUAGCUCCAAUCGGUAGAGCAGCGCAUUCGUAAUGCGACGGUUGAAGGUUCGAAUCCUUUCUCCGGCACCA